UGCAAGUCGAACGCGUUGGCCCAAUUGAUUGAUGGUGCUUGCACCUGAUUGAUUUUGGUCGCCAACGAGUGGCGGACGGGUGAGUAACACGUAGGUAACCUGCCCAGAAGCGGGGGACAACAUUUGGAAACAGAUGCUAAUACCGCAUAACAGCGUUGUUCGCAUGAACAACGCUUAAAAGAUGGCUUCUCGCUAUCACUUCUGGAUGGACCUGCGGUGCAUUAGCUUGUUGGUGGGGUAACGGCCUACCAAGGCGAUGAUGCAUAGCCGAGUUGAGAGACUGAUCGGCCACAAUGGGACUGAGACACGGCCCAUACUCCUACGGGAGGCAGCAGUAGGGAAUCUUCCACAAUGGGCGCAAGCCUGAUGGAGCAACACCGCGUGAGUGAAGAAGGGUUUCGGCUCGUAAAGCUCUGUUGUUAAAGAAGAACACGUAUGAGAGUAACUGUUCAUACGUUGACGGUAUUUAACCAGAAAGUCACGGCUAACUACGUGCCAGCAGCCGCGGUAAUACGUAGGUGGCAAGCGUUAUCCGGAUUUAUUGGGCGUAAAGAGAGUGCAGGCGGUUUUCUAAGUCUGAUGUGAAAGCCUUUCGGCUUAACCGGAGAAGUGCAUCGGAAACUGGAUAACUUGAGUGCAGAAGAGGGUAGUGGAACUCCAUGUGUAGCGGUGGAAUGCGUAGAUAUAUGGAAGAACACCAGUGGCGAAGGCGGCUACCUGGUCUGCAACUGACGCUGAGACUCGAAAGCAUGGGUAGCGAACAGGAUUAGAUACCCUGGUAGUCCAUGCCGUAAACGAUGAGUGCUAGGUGUUGGAGGGUUUCCGCCCUUCAGUGCCGGAGCUAACGCAUUAAGCACUCCGCCUGGGGAGUACGACCGCAAGGUUGAAACUCAAAGGAAUUGACGGGGGCCCGCACAAGCGGUGGAGCAUGUGGUUUAAUUCGAAGCUACGCGAAGAACCUUACCAGGUCUUGACAUCUUGCGCCAACCCUAGAGAUAGGGCGUUUCCUUCGGGAACGCAAUGACAGGUGGUGCAUGGUCGUCGUCAGCUCGUGUCGUGAGAUGUUGGGUUAAGUCCCGCAACGAGCGCAACCCUUGUUACUAGUUGCCAGCAUUAAGUUGGGCACUCUAGUGAGACUGCCGGUGACAAACCGGAGGAAGGUGGGGACGACGUCAGAUCAUCAUGCCCCUUAUGACCUGGGCUACACACGUGCUACAAUGGACGGUACAACGAGUCGCGAACUCGCGAGGGCAAGCAAAUCUCUUAAAACCGUUCUCAGUUCGGACUGCAGGCUGCAACUCGCCUGCACGAAGUCGGAAUCGCUAGUAAUCGCGGAUCAGCAUGCCGCGGUGAAUACGUUCCCGGGCCUUGUACACACCGCCCGUCACACCAUGAGAGUUUGUAACACCCAAAGUCGGUGGGGUAACCUUUUAGGAGCCAGCCGCCU
This 1447-nucleotide ribosomal RNA is filed under the name Limosilactobacillus fermentum. Its description in RNAcentral is "bacterial SSU rRNA". It matches the Rfam family "Bacterial small subunit ribosomal RNA". The record is from RNAcentral. Lineage: Bacteria; Bacillati; Bacillota; Bacilli; Lactobacillales; Lactobacillaceae.